CCUACGGGAGGCAGCAGUGAGGAAUAUUGGUCAAUGGGCGCAAGCCUGAACCAGCCAAGCCGCGUGCAGGAAGACGGCUCUAUGGAUUGUAAACCUCUUUUGUAGGGGAGCAAACGACGCCACGCGUGGCGUUCUGAGAGUAUCCGAAGAAAAAGCAUCGGCUAACUCCGUGCCAGCAGCCGCGGUAAUACGGAGGAUGCCAGCGUUAUCCGGAUUUAUUGGGUUUAAAGGGUGCGCAGGCGGGAGAAUAAGUCAGGCGGUAAAUCGCGAGGCUCAACCCCUUUGUUGCCUUUGAGACUGUUUGUCUUGAGAGUAGGAGCGGUAGGCGGAAUGCGUGGUGUAGCGGUGAAAUGCAUAGAUAUCACGCAGAACACCGAUUGCGAAGGCAGCUUACCGG
RNAcentral lists this ribosomal RNA (397 nucleotides) under uncultured bacterium. Its description in RNAcentral is "partial 16S ribosomal RNA". It matches the Rfam family "Bacterial small subunit ribosomal RNA", at positions 338 to 732 of the family's 1533-position model. The record is from RNAcentral.